Molecule: ribosomal RNA, 497 nt
Filed under: uncultured bacterium
Lineage: Bacteria
Description: partial 16S ribosomal RNA
Rfam family: Bacterial small subunit ribosomal RNA
Source: RNAcentral
GAUGAACGCUGGCGGCGUGCCUAAUACAUGCAAGUCGAGCGAACAGACGAGGAGCUUGCUCCUCUGACGUUAGCGGCGGACGGGUGAGUAACACGUGGAUAACCUACCUAUCAGACUGGGAUAACUUCGGGAAACCGGAGCUAAUACCGGAUAAUAUAUUGAACCGCAUGGUUCAAUAGUGAAAGACGGUUUUGCUGUCACUUAUAGAUGGAUCCGCGCCGCAUUAGCUAGUUGGUAAGGUCACGGCUUACCAAGGCAACGAUGCGUAGCCGACCUGAGAGGGUGGUCGGCCACACGGGAACGUGGACACGGUCCAGGCGCCUACGGGAGGCAGCAGUAGGGAAUCGGCCGCAAUGGGCGAAAGCCUGACGGAGCAACGCCGCGUGAGUGAUGAAGGUCUUCGGAGCGGAAAACUCUGUUAUUAGGGAAGAACAAAUGUGUAAGUAACUAUGCACUGCUUGACGGUACCUAAUCAGAAAGCCACGGCUAACUACGUG